ACGCGAUGAACCUUACCAGGUCUUGACAUCCCAUUGACCGCUAUGGAGACAUAGCUUUCCCUUUUAGGGACAGUGGUGACAGGUGGUGCAUGGUUGUCGUCAGCUCGUGUCGUGAGAUGUUGGGUUAAGUCCCGCAACGAGCGCAACCCUUGUUCUUAGUUGCCAUCAUUUAGUUGGGCACUCUAAGGAGACUGCCGGUGACAAACCGGAGGAAGGUGGGGAUGACGUCAAAUCAUCAUGCCCCUUAUGACCUGGGCUACACACGUGCUACAAUGGACGGUACAAACGGUUGCCAACCCGCGAGGGGGAGCUAAUCCGAUAAAACCGUUCUCAGUUCGGAUUGUAGGCUGCAACUCGCCUACAUGAAGCCGGAAUCGCUAGUAAUCGCGGAUCAGCAUGCCGCGGUGAAUACGUUCCCGGGCCUUGCACUCACCGCCCGU
RNAcentral lists this ribosomal RNA (440 nucleotides) under uncultured bacterium. RNAcentral describes it as "bacterial SSU rRNA". It matches the Rfam family "Bacterial small subunit ribosomal RNA", at positions 959 to 1397 of the family's 1533-position model. The record is from RNAcentral.